Prunus avium (sweet cherry) is the source of this 283-nucleotide non-coding RNA. The record is from RefSeq and is a predicted model, not a curated record. Lineage: Eukaryota; Viridiplantae; Streptophyta; Magnoliopsida; Rosales; Rosaceae.
GUGCACUGAUCUUGUUCGUGGUGCAAAGGACAAGAGGCUCAGGGUUAAGGGACCCGUGAGAAUGCCAACCAAGGUUCUGCACAUUACCACCAGGAAGGCUCCUUGUGGUGAAGGUACCAACACAUGGGACAGAUUUGAGUUGCGUGUCCACAAGAGGGUUAUUGACCUCUUUAGCUCUUCUGAUGUGGUCAAGCAAAUUACAUCCAUUACAAUUGAACCUGGUGUGGAAGUGGAGGUUACAAUUGCCGACUCUUAAACUGGACCAGUUUUCCGCAUAGCCUUC